RNAcentral lists this ribosomal RNA (556 nucleotides) under Colletotrichum falcatum. Its description in RNAcentral is "eukaryotic LSU rRNA". The stretch from base 181 to 334 matches the Rfam family "5.8S ribosomal RNA". Lineage: Eukaryota; Fungi; Ascomycota; Sordariomycetes; Glomerellales; Glomerellaceae. The record is from RNAcentral.
GGGCUCCAAAGUCGGGCUCUUCACCCUUUGUGACAUACCCAACUGUUGCUUCGGCGGGUCGGGGCGCCCUCCCGGGGGCGCCCCCCAGGCCCGGCCCCUCCCGGGGCCGAGCGCCCGCCGGAGGAUCACCCAACUCUAUUUUAACGACGUUUCUUCUGAGUGGCACAAGCAAAUAAUUAAAACUUUUAACAACGGAUCUCUUGGUUCUGGCAUCGAUGAAGAACGCAGCGAAAUGCGAUAAGUAAUGUGAAUUGCAGAAUUCAGUGAAUCAUCGAAUCUUUGAACGCACAUUGCGCCCGCCAGCAUUCUGGCGGGCAUGCCUGUUCGAGCGUCAUUUCAACCCUCAAGCCCGGCUUGGUGUUGGGGCACUACGGUCGACGUAGGCCCUUAAAGGUAGUGGCGGACCCUCCCGGAGCCUCCUUUGCGUAGUAACUAACGUCUCGCAUCGGGAUCCGGAGGGACUCCUGCCGUAAAACCCCCACACUUUUUCUGGUUGACCUCGGAUCAGGUAGGAAUACCCGCUGAACUUAACCAAAUCAAUAAGCAGAGGAAGGGA